GUUUGCACUUAUCGGGGAAGGGUGAGAACCUUCGAUUAAGGUUCGACUCGAGCGAAAGCGAGAGAACGUUGCCAACGGCAACGGC
RNAcentral lists this small RNA (85 nucleotides) under Salmonella enterica. RNAcentral's name for it is "partial RtT sRNA". It matches the Rfam family "RtT RNA", at positions 1 to 83 of the family's 130-position model. Rfam says of the family: This family represents a bacterial cis-regulatory element known as RtT RNA. The exact function of RtT is unknown although it is thought that it may be involved in changing the cellular response in relation to amino acid starvation. RNAcentral also lists the same sequence under 1 other name. The record is from RNAcentral. Lineage: Bacteria; Pseudomonadati; Pseudomonadota; Gammaproteobacteria; Enterobacterales; Enterobacteriaceae.